Molecule: non-coding RNA, 27 nt
Filed under: Cricetulus griseus (Chinese hamster)
Lineage: Eukaryota; Metazoa; Chordata; Mammalia; Rodentia; Cricetidae
Source: RNAcentral
AUGAAGGAUGAGUGUACAGAGCGCGCU